CUGGACAUCAAGAGCCGCCUGGAGCAGGAGAUCGCCACCUACAGGAGCCUCCUGGAAAAUCAGGACAUCAAGACUCAGAUACCAGGUGGACCUAUCACCAUCAGCACAGGUGGAACAACAACAACAACAACAACAAUCCAGAAGACACAGCAUACCUUCUAAAUGCUAAAUGCACAUCACAAUGCUUUAUGAGACAAUAUCUGGACACACACAUACAUUUGGUUUUGAAUGCAUACUGAGAACAAGCGUUACUGAGAAAAAAAACAGAUGAUGCUCUUAUUUGUGUGUGAUAAAACUCUAAAAAAUAAAGCUACUGUUGUGAAUUACUUUUACA
This is a long non-coding RNA of Cyprinus carpio (common carp), 334 nucleotides long. NCBI's taxonomy places the organism in Eukaryota, Metazoa, Chordata, Actinopteri, Cypriniformes, Cyprinidae. The record is from Ensembl.